UGGUCAUGUAAAAAUAGAUAUUACUUUUGUGAUGUAGAAAAUUUUAAGAUUGAUGUCAACAAACCUAAAAAAUUAAACAAUCAUGUCAAAUUAGUGUGCGUGUGUGUGUGUGUGUGUGUGUGUGUGUGUACACAGAUUGCAAAAUCCAU
This is a non-coding RNA of Pelobates cultripes (western spadefoot toad), 149 nucleotides long. Lineage: Eukaryota; Metazoa; Chordata; Amphibia; Anura; Pelobatidae. The record is from the annotation of a GenBank genome assembly.